Molecule: ribosomal RNA, 301 nt
Filed under: uncultured bacterium
Lineage: Bacteria
Description: partial 16S ribosomal RNA
Rfam family: Bacterial small subunit ribosomal RNA
Source: RNAcentral
CAGCAGCCGCGGGAAAACGAAGGGUGCAAGCGUUACUCGGAAUUACUGGGCGUAAAGCGUGCGUAGGUGGUGGUUUAAGUCCGUUGUGAAAGCCCUGGGCUCAACCUGGGAAUUGCAGUGGAUACUGGGUCACUAGAGUGUGGUAGAGGAUAGUGGAAUUUCCGGUGUAGCAGUGAAAUGCGUAGAGAUCGGAAGGAACAUCUGUGGCGAAGGCGACUAUCUGGGCCAACACUGACACUGAGGCACGAAAGCGUGGGGAGCAAACAGGAUUAGAGACCCCGGUAGUCCCUGUCUCUUAUAC